AUGUCCUUCACAAAGAGAUCCAUUGCCACUAUCAUGGUUCUAGUGCUUUCUCUUCAAGCCAUUAUUGACGCCGACUUGUCAUGUAAUCAAGGCUAUGAAUAUAUGUGUUUUCCUGGUUACUGCCAGUGUGAACCGAAAAACAAUCUUCAACUUUGGGGUCGCCAAGCCGUCGUUGAUACCAACAACCUAUCUUGCAAUGUAGGCCUUGCAUAUGUGUGUUAUCCUGGUUACUGCCAGUGUACACCGAAAAACAAUCUUCAACAUGGGGAUCACCAGGCCAUGGUGGCAAGGCCCAAGAAGAGCAACGACAUCUUGCCCCAAUACACCACUGGCAAUGGCAUUGUUCGGCCUUGA
Molecule: ribosomal RNA, 354 nt
Filed under: Triticum aestivum (bread wheat)
Lineage: Eukaryota; Viridiplantae; Streptophyta; Magnoliopsida; Poales; Poaceae
Description: partial small subunit ribosomal RNA
Source: RNAcentral